Molecule: ribosomal RNA, 576 nt
Filed under: uncultured eukaryote
Lineage: Eukaryota
Description: SSU rRNA
Rfam family: Eukaryotic small subunit ribosomal RNA
Source: RNAcentral
UAUUUAUUARAUAAAAAAMCAACRCCCUUCGGGGCUCCUUGGKGAAUCAUAAUAACUUAACGAAUCGCAUGGCCUUGCGCCGGCSAUGGUUCAUUCAAAUUUCUGCCCUAUCAACUUUCGAUGGKAGGAUAGUGGCCUACCAUGGUGGCAACGGGUAACGGGGAAUUAGGGUUCGAUUCCGGAGAGGGAGCCUGAGAAACGGCUACCACAUCCAAGGAAGGCAGCAGGCGCGCAAAUUACCCAAUCCCGAUACGGGGAGGUAGUGACGAUAAAUACUGAUACGGGGCUCUUUUGGGUCUCGUAAUUGGAAUGAGAACAAUUUAAAUCCCUUAACGAGGAACAAUUGGAGGGCAAGUCUGGUGCCAGCAGCCGCGGUAAUUCCAGCUCCAAUAGCGUAUAUUAAAGUUGUUGCAGUUAAAAAGCUCGUAGUUGAACCUUGGGUCUGGCUGGCCGGUCCGCCUCACCGCGAGUACUGGUCCGGCUGGACCUUUCCUUCUGGGGAACCUCAUGGCCUUCACUGGCUGUGGGGGGAACCAGGACUUUUACUGUGAAAAAAUUAGAGUGUUCAAAGCAGGC